Molecule: ribosomal RNA, 253 nt
Filed under: uncultured bacterium
Lineage: Bacteria
Description: partial 16S ribosomal RNA
Rfam family: Bacterial small subunit ribosomal RNA
Source: RNAcentral
UACAGAGGGGGCAAGCGUUGUUCGGAAUUACUGGGCGUAAAGCGCACGUAGGCGGCUCUUUAAGUCGGGGGUGAAAUCCUGGAGCUCAACUCCAGAACUGCCUUCGAUACUGAAGAGCUUGAGUCCGGGAGAGGUGAGUGGAACUGCGAGUGUAGAGGUGAAAUUCGUAGAUAUUCGCAAGAACACCAGUGGCGAAGGCGGCUCACUGGCCCGGUACUGACGCUGAGGUGCGAAAGCGUGGGGAGCAAACAGG